RNAcentral lists this long non-coding RNA (304 nucleotides) under Bos taurus (domestic cattle). Its description in RNAcentral is "long non-coding RNA NONBTAT017039". The record is from RNAcentral. Lineage: Eukaryota; Metazoa; Chordata; Mammalia; Artiodactyla; Bovidae.
GAUCAACAUUAACACAGCAAAGCAGAUUAGAAGUUGAAUUGGAAUAAGACUAGAGGCAAGGGGUCAAAUUACAAAGGCUUUCAGUAUUUCAGGAAGAUGAUGAUGAUAGUAGCCUAAGAAUUCUGCUUGAGAAUAUUGUGUAGUGUUUGUUUUAUGUUUUUGACAUAUCUUUUGUGAUAACAACCUUAGCUUGAGGUUAUUCUGCACUUAUGGCUCCUCAGACUUAUUUUAUGUGUUUUAAGAGUAUGUAAAAAUAUCUGUCACAAGAGACUCUUUAAGUCACAACUUUCUGUUUUCUUUUUAC